AAACUCAAAGGAAUUGACGGGGACCCGCACAAGCGGUGGAGCAUGUGGUUUAAUUCGAAGCAACGCGAAGAACCUUACCAAAUCUUGACAUCGUCUGACCCCUCUAGAGAUAGAGUUUUCCCCUUCGGGGGACAGAGUGACAGGUGGUGCAUGGUUGUCGUCAGCUCGUGUCGUGAGAUGUUGGGUUAAGUCCCGCAACGAGCGCAACCCUUAAGCUUAGUUGCCAUCAUUAAGUUGGGCACUCUAAGUUGACUGCCGGUGACAAACCGGAGGGAGGUGGGGAUGACGUCAAAUCAUCAUGCCCCUUAUGAUUUGGGCUACACACGUGCUACAAUGGACAAUACAAAGGGUAGCAAAACCGCGAGGUCAAGCAAAUCCCAUAAAGUUGUUCUCAGUUCGGAUUGUAGUCUGCAACUCGACUACAUGAAGCUGGAAUCGCUAGUAAUCGUAGAUCAGCAUGCUACGGUGAAUACGUUCCCGGGUCUUGUACACACCGCCCGU
Molecule: ribosomal RNA, 501 nt
Filed under: Staphylococcus sp. Cu5
Lineage: Bacteria; Bacillati; Bacillota; Bacilli; Caryophanales; Staphylococcaceae
Description: bacterial SSU rRNA
Rfam family: Bacterial small subunit ribosomal RNA
Source: RNAcentral